This 439-nucleotide ribosomal RNA is filed under the name uncultured bacterium. RNAcentral's name for it is "partial 16S ribosomal RNA". It matches the Rfam family "Bacterial small subunit ribosomal RNA", at positions 339 to 795 of the family's 1533-position model. The record is from RNAcentral.
CUACGGGUGGCACCAGUGGGGAAUUUUGCGCAAUGGGCGAAAGCCUGACGCAGCAAUACCGCGUGAGUGAAGAAGGCCUUUGGGUCGUAAAGCUCUUUUCUGAAGGAAGAUAGUGACGGUACUUCAGGAAUAAGCACCGGCUAACUCCGUGCCAGCAGCCGCGGUAACACGGAGGGUGCAAGCGUUGUUCGGAUUUACUGGGCGUAAAGGGCGCGUAGGCGGCAUAGCAAGUUAAGGGUGAAAUCCCGGGGCUUAACUCCGGAACUGCUCUUAAAACUGCUAAGCUAGAGAUAGUCAGAGGCGGGUGGAAUUCCUAGUGUAGAGGUGAAAUUCGUAGAUAUUAGGAGGAACACCGGUGGCGAAGGCGGCCCGCUGGGGCUUAUCUGACGCUAAGGCGCGAAAGCGUGGGGAGCAAACGGGAUUAGAUACCCCAGUAGUC